UCGCUGAACUUAAGCAUAUCAAUAAGCGGAGGAAAAGAAACCAACAGGGAUUGCCUCAGUAACGGCGAGUGAAGCGGCAACAGCUCAAAUUUGAAAUCUGGUCCCUCUGGGGCCCGAGUUGUAAUUUGUAGAGGAUGCCUUCGGGUUUGGCCCCGGCCUAAGUUCCUUGGAACAGGACGUCACAGAGGGUGAGAAUCCCGUAUGUGGCUGGAGGUCUAUACCCAUGUGAAGCUCCUUCGACGAGUCGAGUUGUUUGGGAAUGCAGCUCAAAAUGGGUGGUAAGUUUCAUCUAAAGCUAAAUACUGGCGGGAGACCGAUAGCGCACAAGUAGAGUGAUCGAAAGAUGAAAAGCACUUUGGAAAGAGAGUUAAAAAGUACGUGAAAUUGUUGAAAGGGAAGCGCUUGCGACCAGACUUGCCCUUAGUUGAUCAACCGGUGUUCUUCACCAGUGCACUCGGCUAGGGUCAGGCCAGCAUCGGUUUAUGCGGUUGGAAAAAGGCCGUAGGAAUGUGGCUCCCUCCGGGGAGUGUUAUAGCCUAUGGUGCCAUGCAACCAGUUUAGACCGAGGACCGCGCCUCGUGCUAGGAUGCUGGCGUAAUGGUUGUAAGCGACCCGUCUUGAAACACGGACC
Molecule: ribosomal RNA, 631 nt
Filed under: Geoglossum simile
Lineage: Eukaryota; Fungi; Ascomycota; Geoglossomycetes; Geoglossales; Geoglossaceae
Description: eukaryotic LSU rRNA
Rfam family: Eukaryotic large subunit ribosomal RNA
Source: RNAcentral